RNAcentral lists this long non-coding RNA (638 nucleotides) under Mus caroli (Ryukyu mouse). RNAcentral describes it as "lncRNA (MGP_CAROLIEiJ_G0004528.1)". The record is from RNAcentral. Lineage: Eukaryota; Metazoa; Chordata; Mammalia; Rodentia; Muridae.
GCUCCUGCCUGUGAUUGGCAAGUCUGAAAUCGUUCCGGGGGGGUGGGGGGGAACGUAUCACAUCAAGAACAGGAAGACUCUUGUUUGGUGCCAGAGCAGCUUGAAAUCUGGUCCAGAAUAUUUUAUCAAAAAGAGAAAAAAGAAAAAGCUCUGACUUGGGAUUCUCUCUUCUGAGCAAGACAAUUGCAAUCUGCUUCAAGCUUUAGAGCUAAUGGUACCACCCACUGAGUCCCCUUUUGGACCUAUGAAUAGGGACAAUUCUCACAGUUUUAAAGUGGCCCCUAACUGUGCCAUAGGCACAGUGAUACAUCGAGUCAAGCUACUAGAGGCAGCUGGGCCACACCCUCCUGGGAGGGACUUCUGAAUUCCUGAUGGCUGUUUUCAUCUGACUUUUGGAAAGUUUCCUGCAUCCAGGUUCCAGCCUUGGGUUCCUGCCUGACUUUCUGAAUUAUAAGAUGAAAUGGAGGAACAAGAUGAACCAGAGAUCUGGCAAGAGGCAUCUAACAGUACCAUCGAAGACAGUGGCUCCCUACAGACCCUUAGCCCACCUCUGAUACAUUCACGCUCAUGGUGUUUUACCACAGAUGCCUCACACUUCACAAACCUGUCAAUUCCAGUACAUAUCAUCUUGAACUAUG